ACUCACGCCACAACGUUCGAUUCGAUAACGAUUGUGAUUAUCGUUUCAGAAGCCUAUUAGUGAAACGAUUAUGGUCGCAAGAUAUGAGCCACACGCGUUCGUUAUGCUUUGUGCGGGUCACUCUCGUUUCCCCCCUGGAAAAACUGCAUCAAACGCCACCCGGUCCAGUCAGUGGAUCGAUUGAAAUAAAUCAUACGAUUUGUUUAUCAAAAAUGUAUAGCGCAUGGUAUUUAGAUUCCAGACUAUCCGACUGUGAUUUCUGUAUUGGUGUUUGCGUUUCUCUAUUGAAAAGCAUUCCUCAGUCCUGGGGUUGUAAAACAUCCCAUCACUCAUUGUUAGCAGCCAGGUUCAGUUGUGGAGGCGACUUGAGACUGGGUGGAUCACUAGUUGAGUGCAAUCAAAUGGGCGAUAGUAGCUUCAAACUUUGAGUGAGGUGUAUCAUCAGAAAAUUGAAUGAGAAUAGUCUAUUAUUACGGAAGUAAGCCGUGAAUUUCCACACAGGAAUGAAACAAUUGAAUUAUUAAGGUCACACGCAGAGAUAGUCCAUCGACCCAUCAUCUACAUAUAGUAUACACGCCAUACGGUAUAGUUCAGCGGAGACAACGCUGUAAUCAUACACAGACGGACAUUACUUUAAAAUCCGAACGGAGUAACGACAUCAUCAGAUGAUAUGUGCCGUUGUAUUCUUAUCAAUGAACCCAUAUAUGACGAACGAGUGUAAUAAAUAGAACGGUAAUUCCAAAACACCCGACCGGGUAAUAUUUAGCCGAGAAGUGUUAGUGAAGUAAACCGCGUGUGCUUGGGAGACAUCGUAGAAGAAGUUGUAAUCUUCCUUACGGACGGGGGAAGUGUGAUGGUGCAGCACAUCUUGUGGUCCAUGCUGGAAUCAUUGGAAACGGCCCCUGUGGAUUAGUGGUAGUGGUGGGUGCCAUUACACGAGCAAGGAAAGAAGGACCUUUCUUUCGGUGGUGUUGCGUAGCCGAGCGCGGACGUCUUACCGCGUGGUGAUCUCGAUAGUUUCGCGCGCGCCAUUGUCAUUCAAACUCAACGGAUCUGUGUUCUCUCGCGGAUAAAUUGCUGCACACAAACGGAAUAUCCACGAUGUUGGGAAUCAAAUACCUGAAAGAAGCCCACCUGAAGGGUUUCGAGAAGUACAAAUACAGCUGCGUAGACAACAGCAUACUCAGCGUCCAUGUGAUGCACCCCUUCUGGAACUGGCUGGUGCAGUUCUUCCCGCGAUGGAUCGCCCCCAAUUUGCUCACAUUCACCGGCUUCAUGCUGACGGUGGUGAACUUCUUCCUGAUAGGAUACUACGACUAUGGCUUUACGGCGGCCACCCAGACGCCGAAUCCCAUACCCGGCUGGGUGUGGAUAGUAGCCGGCAUUAAUUUAUUCGUAGCGUAUACAUUAGAUGGUAUUGAUGGAAAACAAGCUCGACGAACGGGCACCAGUGGACCACUGGGAGAACUUUUUGACCACGGUGUAGACUCGUACUCCACGCUACUGAUUCCGGUGUACGUAUUCAGUUUGUUCGGAAUCGUCGAUCUACCUCCCAUUAGAAUGCACUUUGUGAUGCUGAACGCUUAUCUCAACUUUUAUCUGCCACACGUGGAGAAAUACAUCACCGGUGUGAUGUUCCUGCCUUGGGGCUACGAUUUCCUUAUGUGGGGUGUUUCGCUAACUAUGGCAGCUACGGGUAUUUUCGGACCGGAAAUUUGGCAGGUUCCAAUCUUCGGAGUCAGACCAUGUUUGUACUUUGAAAUGGCUUUAUACGUGUCCGGUCUGCUCACUAGUCAUCCCAUUAUUGCGUACAACAUCUACAAAUCGUACCGGGACAAAACGGGCAAGAUGCGUCCAUUUGGAGAGGCAUUCCGACCAAUGGUUCCGCUGUUUUUCCUAGCUAUCGUCAGCACCAUCUGGGCAUUCCUUUCCCCCAACAGUAUUGUAACCCUGGAGCCACGGAUGUUCAUUGUUCUUAGUGGAACAGUCUUCUCCAACAUCAACUGCCGACUGAUCGUAGCCCAGAUGACUGACACCAGGGCGGACCUCUGGAACGGGUUGCUGAAUCUCCUGACGGCGGCCGCCAUCGUUUGCAUAUUCCCCUACCCGAUACUGGGUAUUCCCGCCCUCUGGCUGGAGUACGAACGGAACAUCCUGUAUGCACUGGUUCUGGUCGUCACCGUGGCGCACCUGCACUACGGCCAAGGUGUGGUACGGGAAAUGUGCUCCCACUUCCGGAUCCGGUGUUUCAAAAUACCAGCAUACGGUAAAUCAUCAGCAUUACUAGGCUACUAAAACCCAAACUCGCGAAUCUCAAAUCUCGCACAUUAGCGCGUUGUUCGUACCACGUACCAUCACGACUUGUCGGGGGAGCAUAGUACUACACCAACAACCACCACAGGUCCAUAGCUGAUAAGCCAUCACCACCUCCCGCAUCAUCGCAUCGGUGCAGAAUUAAGAUAACACCACCAGCUGCUCCGACCCCCGAAGUAGCCCGCCUUACGUCCAACGGAGGACCUCCUGCCGCUCCCCAUGACGAAAUGAUUGAGAUUGAAUUGUGAACUACGAAGAGCUACAGCUCUGAGUAAUCGUAUAGUCGGAGGAGUGAGUGUGCAAUGAUAUCUCAAGCGGAGAGCUACUAAUGGGGAGUCACUGAACGAACGUGAACUGAAACACUGUCGAGAGGAGAUUGUUUGCAGUACCGAGUCAACGAAGACGGCGUGAGUGAAGUGCAACGCAAAAUGAGAUUACUUAAAUUUUGUAAAUAUACUAGUGAAAAGGUUAUAAAUCUAUACUGAGAGAAAAGGCAA
Aedes albopictus (Asian tiger mosquito) is the source of this 2810-nucleotide RNA transcript. It is a transcript of the gene named ethanolaminephosphotransferase 1, with no coding region annotated. The transcript has 8 exons. The record is from RefSeq and is a predicted model, not a curated record. Lineage: Eukaryota; Metazoa; Arthropoda; Insecta; Diptera; Culicidae.